RNAcentral lists this non-coding RNA (29 nucleotides) under Bombyx mori (domestic silkworm). Lineage: Eukaryota; Metazoa; Arthropoda; Insecta; Lepidoptera; Bombycidae. The record is from RNAcentral.
UGCUUCUGAAGAGAACCGGCUGCAGCAUU